Long non-coding RNA from Nematolebias whitei (Rio pearlfish), 265 nucleotides. RefSeq lists it as uncharacterized. The transcript is spliced from 3 exons. The record is from RefSeq and is a predicted model, not a curated record. NCBI's taxonomy places the organism in Eukaryota, Metazoa, Chordata, Actinopteri, Cyprinodontiformes, Rivulidae.
GUGGGGAAAAGGGCCGCGUCAAAAGCAGCCGGAUGUGUUGCCGGAGGAGCCGUUGGACUUCUGUUCUCAGUUCCUGAACUGGUUUCUGACUGUCAAAACCUGGACAACUACGAGACUGAAGCCAGUAAGGCCCUGAGAAAGAAUGCUGAAGCUGUACAGACCGCUGCUAAGGAGGUGGAAGAAGAGCUGCAGAAAAUAAGAGAGGCUCUACUGAAGUUAGCUCGGAUUAAAUUGAUUAUUGAGAAGGAAAACCGAAGCAGUGAUG